GAUGAACGCUGGCGGCGUGCCUAAUACAUGCAAGUCGAGCGAACGGACGAGAAGCUUGCUUCUCUGAUGUUAGCGGCGGACGGGUGAGUAACACGUGGAUAACCUACCUAUAAGACUGGGAUAACUUCGGGAAACCGUAGCUAAUACCGGAUAAUAUUUUGAACCGCAUGGUUCAAAAGUGAAAGACGGUCUUGCUGUCACUUAUAGAUGGAUCCGCGCUGCAUUAGCUAGUUGGUAAGGUAACGGCUUACCAAGGCAACGAUGCAUGGCCGACCUGAGAGGGUGAUCGGCCACACUGGAACUGGGACACGGUCCAGACUCCUACGGGAGGCAGCAGUAGGGAAUCUUCCGCAAUGGGCGAAAGCCUGACGGAGCAACGCCGCGUGAGUGAUGAAGGUCUUCGGAUCGUAAAACUCUGUUAUUAGGGAAGAACAUAUGUGUAAGUAACUGUGCACAUCUUGACGGUACCUAAUCAGAAAGCCACGGCUAACUACGUG
RNAcentral lists this ribosomal RNA (497 nucleotides) under uncultured bacterium. Its description in RNAcentral is "partial 16S ribosomal RNA". It matches the Rfam family "Bacterial small subunit ribosomal RNA", at positions 28 to 507 of the family's 1533-position model. The record is from RNAcentral.